This 253-nucleotide ribosomal RNA is filed under the name uncultured bacterium. RNAcentral's name for it is "partial 16S ribosomal RNA". It matches the Rfam family "Bacterial small subunit ribosomal RNA", at positions 524 to 776 of the family's 1533-position model. The record is from RNAcentral.
UACGAAGGGGGCUAGCGGUGUUCGGAUUUACUGGGCGUAAAGCGCGUGUAGGCGGGUCGUUAAGUUGGUGGUGAAAUCCCGGAGCUCAACUCCGGAACUGCCUCCAAAACUGGCGACCUGGAGCAGAGGAGAGGCGAGUGGAAUUCCGAGUGUAGAGGUGAAAUUCGUAGAUAUUCGGAGGAACACCAGUGGCGAAGGCGACUCGCUGGACUCUUGCUGACGCUGAGCCGCGAAAGCGUGGGGAGCAAACAGG